CCUGAAGUUCUGUUGUGUAGUCCUGGAGUCCUGUCGUGUAGUCCUGUCGUGUAGUCCUGUCGUGUAGUCCUGGAGUCAUGUCGUCAUGUCGGGUAGUCCUGGAGUCCUGUCGUGGAGUCCUGUCAUGGAGUCCUGUCGUGGAGUCCUGUCGUGGAGUCCUGUCGUGGAGUCCUGUCGUGGAGUCCUGUCGUGGAGUCCUGGAGUUCUGUCGUGGAGUCCUGGAGUUCUGUCGUGGAGUCCUGUCCUGUCGCGGAGUCCUGUCGCGGAGUCCUGUCGCGGAGUCCUGUCGUGGAGUCCUGGAGUUCUGUCGUGGAGUCCUGGAGUUCUGUCGUGGAGUCCUGGAGUUCUGUCGUGGAGUCCUGGAGUUCUGUCGUGGAGUCCUGGAGUUCUGUCGUGGAGUCCUGGAGUUCUGUCGUGGAGUCCUGGAGUCCUGUCGCGGAGUCCUGUCGCGGAGUCCUGGAGUCCUGGAGUUCUGUCGUGUAGUCGUGGAGUUCUGUCGUGUAGUCGUGGAGUCCUGGAGUCCUGUCCUGGAGUUCUGUCGUGUAGUCCUGGAGUUCUGUCGUGUAGUCCUGGAGUCCUGUCAUGUAGUUCUGUCAUGUAGUCCUGUCGUCAUGUCGUGUAGUCCUGGAGUUCUGUCGUGUAGUCCUGGAGUUCUGUCGUGUAGUCCUGGAGUUCUGUCGUGUAGUCCUGGAGUUCUGUCGUGUAGUCCUGGAGUUCUGUCGUGUAGUCCUGGAGUUCUGUCGUGUAGUCCUGGAGUUCUGUCGUGUAGUUCUGUCGUGUAGUCCUGGAGUCCUGUCGUGUAGUCCUGUCGUGGAGUCCUGUCGUGGAGUCCUGUCGUGGAGUCCUGGAGUCCUGUCGUGUAGUCCUGGAGUCCUGGAGUGUAGUCCUUAUUAGACCAGAUUCACUACCCAGAGCAUUGGAUAGAAGUUGUGCACUAUACACUGAGUAUACGAAACAUUAGGAACACAAGCACUCAGGCCUGCUCUCUGUCUCCUAUUCAUAUUGGGUUUGUCUGUCACAGUUGUAGAUAAAAAAUGUAUUUCUGCCUCUCAGUCAUGAGGUUGUCCAUUGUGUAUCUUUAUGACGUGAUGAAACAAUUUUAAGAAGAUGAUAUUCAUUUUAGAGAAAUAAAAUAUUAUUUUUUUGUAGAGCACCCUCCACUCGUGUAGUUUUACUUCCUUUAAGAAUGGUCCUAAUGAUCAUUACAGUCCAGAAUGGUCCUAAUGAUCAUUACAGUCCAGAAUGGUCCUAAUGAUCAUUACAGUCCAGAAUGGUCCUAAUGAUCAUUACAGUCCAGAAUGGUCCUAAUGAUCAUUACAGUCCAGAAUGGUCCUAAUGAUCAUUACAGUCCAGAAUGGUCCUAAUGAUCAUUACAGUCCAGAAUGGUCCUAAUGAUCAUUACAGUCCAGAAUGGUCCUAAUGAUCAUUACAGUCCAGAAUGGUCCUAAUGAUCAUUACAGUCCAGAAUGGUCCUAAUGAUCAUUACAGUCCAGAAUGGUCCUAAUGAUCAUUACAGUCCAGAGAUGAAAGAAGGUAAUUAGCCUGAUGUGGGUCUAUUUUAAAGAUCAAAGACACUUCCUCUCUGGUUCAGAAGUUAGUAAGUCUUGCCAGAGAUGGUCUAAAAUGUUCUAACAGGCUUUGUCUCGCUUGCCUUCUCAUGUGCCUAUGUCACACACACACACACACACACACACAGCAGUUGUGGGUAGAGAAUAUAGAGUAGUUAGUAGACCUGGGAUGAUGUAGACCUGGGAUGAUGUAGUUAGUAGACCUGGGAUGAUGUAGUUAGUAGACCUGGGAUGAUGUAGUUAGUAGACCUGGGAUGAUGUAGACUUGGGAUGACAGAGUAGUUAGUUAAACCUGGGAUGACAUAGACCUGGGAUGAUGUAGUUAGUAGAUCUGGGAUGUGUCCCAAAUGGCACCCUGUUCCCUUUAGAUGGCUCUAAAGUACUGCUCUAUAUAGGGAAUAGGGUGCCAGCCCUGGUCUAAUGUAGUGCACUAUAUAGGGAAUAGGGUGCUAGCCCUGGUCUAAAGUAGUGCACUAUAUAGGGAAUAGGGUGCCAGCCCUGGUCUAAAGUAGUGCACUAUAUAGGGAAUAGGGUGCUAGCCCUGGUCUAAAGUAGUGCUCUAUAUAGGGAAUAGGGUGCCAGCCCUGGUCUAAAGUAGUGCACUAUAUAGGGAAUAGGGUGCCAGCCCUGGUCUAAUGUAGUGCACUAUAUAGGGAAUAGGGUGCUAGCCCUGGUCUAACGUACUGCACUAUAUAGGUGCUAGGGUGCCAUUUGGGAACCAGAUUUUGUUCAUUAAAACUGGAAUUAAGUGGUAGACACCUGGAAUUCCCCAAAGCAGAAUAAUUUUUUAAAAUACAAAUUUUUAAUACAUUUUCCAGUUUUUAUUUCUGCGUUAUUUGACUGCUCUAUCAGGUUUUAGGAUCAUAUGUUCAGAUUAAUUUAUCUCCAGGAGUGUUCGUAUGGAUAUGGACUGAAACGAACAACUGUGUCUUGGAUGGGCUUCUGCUUUCAGAAAUGCUUCUGACAUGUAAUAGUAGUAUAAUUUUAAAGUCAUCUAAAGCAGUGUUUGUUGAGACUUUAGUUCUAUGGUUUGUUAUCUUUGUUAGAUAAUAUGUUGCGGUGUUAGUUUUAAAACAGUAGGUGACUGUGAGCUCUUUGCAAUUUUGACAACGAGUACGUUUACAUGCACACUAAUAAUCUGAUAUUAAAUUAUGGUAGAAGGCAGAGUAUGGCGUUCGUCAUGUAAACACCUUUUAUUCUGCUUAUCUUAGUUAAUCAGUGGCAAAAUCCAAGUAAGCAAUACACCGAUUUAAAAAUACACCUGGUUUUCUGAACAAUCUUUCAAAAAACGAUUUAUAUUAACCUGAUUCUCCCAAAUAAUAACGUCAUUAUUGUUUGCAUGUGAUCGUGCUCAAUAUUUGCCUUGUGGAUUGUUUUUUCAUUUUUUUUUCAUUUACUUUCUUAUUACCUCUCUACAUAUAGUAAGUAUAGUUUCUCUUGGUGUGUAUUUUUAUUAUAGAUAAUAUAAUAAAACUAUUUUGAUCCCGUCUUUA
This is a long non-coding RNA of Oncorhynchus keta (chum salmon), 3061 nucleotides long. RefSeq lists it as uncharacterized. The record is from RefSeq and is a predicted model, not a curated record. Lineage: Eukaryota; Metazoa; Chordata; Actinopteri; Salmoniformes; Salmonidae. The transcript is spliced from 2 exons.